This is a non-coding RNA of Salvia hispanica, 729 nucleotides long. NCBI's taxonomy places the organism in Eukaryota, Viridiplantae, Streptophyta, Magnoliopsida, Lamiales, Lamiaceae. The record is from RefSeq and is a predicted model, not a curated record.
UCAAAAAGCCAGUGGAAUUGCCGCACAGCAUCUGCAGUGCCUUGAAACCAAUUUUUACCUGCCUGACCGGGAGUUUGAGUGGCAGCUAAUACCUGACUUACCAAAUGCUGCGGAAUGGUGUACUCACAGCUGGCUUGGCACGGCGCUUUGUGAGUGGGAACAAACGGGUGCCUGCUCCUCCUCCGAGAAUAAUGGCGACAACAGUCCUCGCAUCCCUCUUCUCCACCUCCAGGUCCCUCAACUGUAUAAGCAUCAAUUGUGGCAUCAAAAUCAGGUUUCAUCUUGCAUUGAAACCAAGAAUCUCACCUUGGCCUCACCUGCCAAGUCAGCUGUGAGUGAAUUGCAGACAUGGCUUCUAAUACCAUUGCCAUUCUUCCUCUGCUGAACUGGAGUAAACUUGAGCUUCUGCCCCAUGAACUCUCCACUGCUGAACUUCACUAGCCUCCCGCUUUGAGUGUAAGAUCUCGUGGGGCGGUGCAGCUGCCCUGUGGCAGACAGGGCGACGCGGCCGUCGGCAGUGACUGCCAUUUUAAUAGGCUAGUUUCUGCAGUUUUUCAUGUAUAUAUGAAGAAAGAAUAGAGUCUUCUGUGAGUGUGUGUGAUUUGGGUACAUGGAUUGCAUGCCAUUGAUGCAGUGAGCCACGCUAUCCAUAUUCAACUGCGUCCACCAAUUUUUCUUUUGUAUUCAUGUGAAUCAUGCCAAAUCAAAUUGCAAGUUUUCUUUAAUUUA